Molecule: non-coding RNA, 252 nt
Organism: Lupinus albus (white lupine)
Lineage: Eukaryota; Viridiplantae; Streptophyta; Magnoliopsida; Fabales; Fabaceae
Source: the annotation of a GenBank genome assembly
GGUAUCAGUGAAUCUUAUAUCAUCACUUAUAGGUAAAGUUAAUGGAAACUGAAUAAGAACAUACUAUUCUCUGGAUUUUCGUCCAACAGACUUAACUUAAUUGCUGGAUUUGAUGAAUUUUCAUCAUAAGUUAUGGAUUCGACAGUCUCCCCAAAUUCCUCCUCACAAGAAGAGUUGUUGGAUAAUAAGUUUGUUUCACCCCGUCACCAAAAGCAAUUUGUGAUGCUCAACCUUGGGUCUUGCCUUCAUUGA